Molecule: non-coding RNA, 64 nt
Organism: Penstemon davidsonii
Lineage: Eukaryota; Viridiplantae; Streptophyta; Magnoliopsida; Lamiales; Plantaginaceae
Source: the annotation of a GenBank genome assembly
GGGAUCCGUGGCGCAAUGGUAGCGCGCCUGACUCCAGUUCAGACGGGUUCAAACCCCGAUCCCA